GGUGGGGACUAUACUGAGGAUGUUCCACUUCUUCCCAUUUCGAACAGAAUUGUGAAAUUCCUCAAGGCCGAUGAUAGUCCUUCGUGGGCGAAAGUAGGUAGUCCCCACUU
Parcubacteria bacterium DG_74_2 is the source of this 110-nucleotide non-coding RNA. NCBI's taxonomy places the organism in Bacteria, Candidatus Parcubacteria. The record is from Rfam.